UUGGACGUGGUGUAGUGCAGCACGGCCUCUCUUCCUAAUGUUGCUGAAAAUGUGCGAAUUUAUAGAGACAAACCCGGGUUCGACUCCCGGUGUCCGAA
This is a non-coding RNA of Mycena metata, 98 nucleotides long. The record is from the annotation of a GenBank genome assembly. NCBI's taxonomy places the organism in Eukaryota, Fungi, Basidiomycota, Agaricomycetes, Agaricales, Mycenaceae.